GACGAACGCUGGCGGCGUGCUUAACACAUGCAAGUCGAACGAAGCUUGAUUACGGAUUCUUCGGAUGAAGUAUGAUAUGACUGAGUGGCGGACGGGUGAGUAACGCGUGAGUAACCUGCCCUUCAGAGGGGGAUAGCGUUUGGAAACGAACGGUAAUACCGCAUAAUGUAUUUUGACCGCAUGAUCGAAAUACCAAAGAUUUAUCGCUGAAGGAUGGACUCGCGUCUGAUUAGGUAGUUGGUGGGGUAACGGCCUACCAAGCCGACGAUCAGUAGCCGGACUGAGAGGUUGAUCGGCCACAUUGGGACUGAGACACGGCCCAGACUCCUACGGGAGGCAGCAGUGGGGAAUAUUGCACAAUGGGCGCAAGCCUGAUGCAGCAACGCCGCGUGAAGGAAGACGGUUUUCGGAUUGUGAACUUCUGUUCUUAGGGAAGAAUAAUGACGGUAGCUAAGGAGCAAGCCACGGCUAACUACGUG
RNAcentral lists this ribosomal RNA (479 nucleotides) under uncultured bacterium. RNAcentral describes it as "partial 16S ribosomal RNA". It matches the Rfam family "Bacterial small subunit ribosomal RNA", at positions 28 to 507 of the family's 1533-position model. The record is from RNAcentral.